RNAcentral lists this ribosomal RNA (522 nucleotides) under uncultured Hanseniaspora. Its description in RNAcentral is "eukaryotic LSU rRNA". It matches the Rfam family "Eukaryotic large subunit ribosomal RNA", at positions 62 to 582 of the family's 3401-position model. The record is from RNAcentral. Lineage: Eukaryota; Fungi; Ascomycota; Saccharomycetes; Saccharomycodales; Saccharomycodaceae.
AAACCAACUGGGAUUACCUUAGUAACGGCGAGUGAAGCGGUAAAAGCUCAAAUUUGAAAUCUGGUACUUUCAGUGCCCGAGUUGUAAUUUGUAGAAUUUGUCUUUGAUUAGGUCCUUGUCUAUGUUCCUUGGAACAGGACGUCAUAGAGGGUGAGAAUCCCGUUUGGCGAGGAUACCUUUUCUCUGUAAGACUUUUUCGAAGAGUCGAGUUGUUUGGGAAUGCAGCUCAAAGUGGGUGGUAAAUUCCAUCUAAAGCUAAAUAUUGGCGAGAGACCGAUAGCGAACAAGUACAGUGAUGGAAAGAUGAAAAGAACUUUGAAAAGAGAGUGAAAAAAGUACGUGAAAUUGUUGAAAGGGAAGAGCAUUUGAUCAGACAUGGUGUUUUUGCAUGCACUCGCCUCUCGUGGGCUUGGGCCUCUCAAAAAUUUCACUGGGCCAACAUCAAUUCUGGCAGCAGGAUAAAUCAUUAAGAAUGUAGCUACUUCGGUAUGUUAUAGCUUUUUUGGAAUACUGUUAGCCGGU